UUUAAGGUCUAACCUGCCCAAUGAGGAUUUAAAUGGCCGCAGUAUUUUGACUGUGCAAAGGUAGCAUAAUUAUUAGUUUUUUAAUUGAAAGCUUGUAUGAAGGGUUGGACGAGAUGAAAUCUGUCUUUAUUUAAAUUAAGAUAUAAUUUAACUUUUAAGUAAAAAGGCUUAAAUGUUUAUAAAAGACGAGAAGACCCUAUAGAUCUUUAUUUAAUUAAAAUUUUAAUAAUUUAGGAUUAUUUUAAUUUAAAGUUUUAAUUAAAUUUUAUUGGGGUAAUAUAAAGAUUAAAUAAAUUCUUUUUAUUUAUAACAUUGAUUUAUGAAUAUAUGAUCCAUUAAUAUUGAUUAUAAGAUUAAGUUACCUUAGGGAUAACAGCGUAAUUUUUUUGGAGAGCUCAUAUCGAUAAAAAAGUUUGCGACCUCGAUGUUGGAUUAAAAAUUAGCUUGGGUGCAGAAGCUCAAGAUUUUGGUCUGUUCGACCAUUAAAUUUUUACAUGAUCUGAGUUCAGACCGGCGUGAGCCAGGUCGGUUUCUAUCUUUAUUAAGAUAAAAUAUUUUAGUACGAAAGGACCAAAUAUUUAAUAUAAUUAUAUUUAUUUUUUGAAGAAUAUU
This 612-nucleotide ribosomal RNA is filed under the name Cicindela (Rivacindela) sp. JP-31. Its description in RNAcentral is "partial 16S ribosomal RNA". It matches the Rfam family "Bacterial large subunit ribosomal RNA", at positions 1844 to 2739 of the family's 2925-position model. Lineage: Eukaryota; Metazoa; Arthropoda; Insecta; Coleoptera; Carabidae. The record is from RNAcentral.